RNAcentral lists this unclassified non-coding RNA (249 nucleotides) under uncultured Neosetophoma. RNAcentral describes it as "sequence contains ITS2". The record is from RNAcentral. Lineage: Eukaryota; Fungi; Ascomycota; Dothideomycetes; Pleosporales; Phaeosphaeriaceae.
AACGCACAUUGCGCCCCUUGGUAUUCCAUGGGGCAUGCCUGUUCGAGCGUCAUUUGUACCCUCAAGCUCUGCUUGGUGUUGGGUGUUUGUCCACUCCCUGGUGUCUGGACUCGCCUUAAAGCAAUUGGCAGCCAGUGUUUUGGUAUUGAAGCGCAGCACAUUUUGCGUCUCCAGCCUAGAACGCUUGCGUCCAGUAAGCCUUUUUCCACUUUUGACCUCGGAUCAGGUAGGGAUACCCGCUGAACUUAA